Molecule: ribosomal RNA, 542 nt
Filed under: uncultured bacterium
Lineage: Bacteria
Description: bacterial SSU rRNA
Rfam family: Bacterial small subunit ribosomal RNA
Source: RNAcentral
GGGGAAUAUUGCACAAUGGGCGAAAGCCUGAUGCAGCGACGCCGCGUGAGGGAUGGAGGCCUUCGGGUUGUAAACCUCUUUCGCUCAUGGUCAAGCCGCAACUUGGGGUUGUGGUGAGGGUAGUGGGUAAAGAAGCGCCGGCUAACUACGUGCCAGCAGCCGCGGUAAUACGUAGGGCGCGAGCGUUGUCCGGAAUUAUUGGGCGUAAAGGGCUUGUAGGCGGUUGGUCGCGUCUGCCGUGAAAUCCUCUGGCUUAACUGGGGGCGUGCGGUGGGUACGGGCUGACUUGAGUGCGGUAGGGGAGACUGGAACUCCUUGUGUAGCGGUGGAAUGCGCAGAUAUCAGGAAGAACACCGGUGGCGAAGGCGGGUCUCUGGGCCGUUACUGACGCUGAGGAGCGAAAGCGUGGGGAGCGAACAGGAUUAGAUACCCUGGUAGUCCACGCUGUAAACGUUGGGCACUAGGUGUGGGGGCCACCCGCGGUUUCUGCGCCGUAGCUAACGCUUUAAGUGCCCCGCCUGGGGAGUACGGCCGCAAGGCUA